Molecule: long non-coding RNA, 1134 nt
Filed under: Canis lupus dingo (dingo)
Lineage: Eukaryota; Metazoa; Chordata; Mammalia; Carnivora; Canidae
Description: lncRNA (ENSCAFG00020014817.1)
Source: RNAcentral
GUUUUAGAGAAAAUGUGUCAUUCGAGUUCAUGAAAUGCAACUGUGAGUAUGCAUUUUAGGUAACCAACUUUUACAAUGCUGUAUCUCGUUCAACUAACUGAAGUACUGCCAACACGGGCAUUACUUAAAAACCAGGGGGUUCAUCUGUAUCAUUGACUCAACAUCUGCCAUAUAGAUUAACAAGGAAGUCCCUCCAAUUUUAAUUUAGAAUGUUUGUAAUUAAAGUUACUGUUGUACUUUCUUCCCUUCUGUUUUCCCCUGAAGCCAGCUUCCUCUCCUCAACCUGGAGAGAAUCUUUCUUAGUUGAAUAAUUCCACUUCUCUGUGAAUCCUUUCUUUCUGAGGUCUCCUGGAGAGAGCCAAGUACUUGCAUUGCCCUGAUUGUUAUUUAAUGGUUCUCAAUUUCUCUGGGACUCAGUAGGAUUCUCUCUGGGGUUGGUAGGCAGAUAUGCGGAGGUUUUCAAAUGAUUGCCACUAGUAACUCUACUAUGGGAGAGUGUUUUUUUUUUUUUAAUAGAAGCUAAGGGAUUAUUUGCUACCAAAAUAACAUGGUUAAUGUGUCACUGAUGAGUGGAAUCCUAAUAAGUAUUUAAUACUCUGAGUGUCUUCCAUACAGGUUCAUUCCUUCUCAGCACUUUCUGUUCAGAGUACCUCUUGUGAUUUGAUAACCUUUGAACACUUUUAUCUUUGAAACAGAACCUGUUAAUAUUAAUGAAGAAAGUGAGGGAAUUGACCAAAACACCCAAAUUAGGAAUCAAGGAAUUAUAGCUUUGAGCUACCGUGACUGGGAGGUAAAACUCUGCACAUUGCCCCAGGGUAGUUCUGUCUCCCUUGUUAUUUGCUGUAAACCUAAUGCCCAAAUGUCUUUGUUCUCUGCCAGGAGAUCGUGAAGACCUUCGAGAUAUCAGAGCCUGUGAUUGCUUCAGGCCAGAGUCAGCAGAGGCUAAGCGCUUGACGCCAGCAAAGGACUCAGAUGGAUAGCGAAAUCCAAAAAGGGAAGCAGCAUGUAUUGUAUAUAUUGUAUGAUUAAACAUUUUUAAAGACAGAUUGUUUUUAGUAAAAUGUAGCUUUUGAUAGUUAUGAAUUUGUCAUGGUUGUCUUUGAUUAAAGGAAAUUCACUGCCAUAUUCACAAAC